RNAcentral lists this ribosomal RNA (253 nucleotides) under uncultured bacterium. RNAcentral describes it as "partial 16S ribosomal RNA". It matches the Rfam family "Bacterial small subunit ribosomal RNA", at positions 524 to 776 of the family's 1533-position model. The record is from RNAcentral.
UACGGAGGGUGCAAGCAUUAAUCGGAUUUAUUGGGCGUAAAGGGCGCGUAGGCGGCCUUGUAAGUCAGACGUGAAAUUCCGGGGCUCAACCCCGGAGCGGCAUUUGAAACUGCAAGGCUAGAGGGUAGAUGGAGAAAAUGGAAUUCCACAAGUAGCGGUGAAAUGCGUAGAUAUGUGGAAGAACACCAGUGGCGAAGGCGGUUUUCUAAUUUACACCUGACGCUAAAGCGCGAAAGCAAGGGGAUCAAACAGG